CGGCCGCGUCGACGGCUCGUUGGGUUACGUUAAACCCCUUUUCUCGUGGGAAAGAAAGUUGUAGAAAGCAACCUGACGGUACCAGAGGAAUCAGCAGUCGGACUAACUACGUCGCCAGCACGCCGACGGUAAUACGGUAGGGUGGACAAGUCGUUCGGUACCGGUAAUUUAGUUGGGACGUAAAGCGCGCGCGAGGUCGGUUACCUUUAAGUCUGAUGUAGAAACGCCCGACGGCUACCAACCGUGGGAGGUCUAGUUAGAACGUGGGGGACUUGAGUGCAGAAGAGGAAAGUGGAAUUCCAAGUGUAGCGGUGAAAUGCGUAGAGAUUUGGAGGAACACCAGUGGCGAAGGCGGUCGACGCGGCCG
RNAcentral lists this ribosomal RNA (367 nucleotides) under uncultured Bacillus sp. RNAcentral's name for it is "bacterial SSU rRNA". It matches the Rfam family "Bacterial small subunit ribosomal RNA", at positions 383 to 736 of the family's 1533-position model. The record is from RNAcentral. Lineage: Bacteria; Bacillati; Bacillota; Bacilli; Caryophanales; Bacillaceae.